RNAcentral lists this transfer RNA (76 nucleotides) under compost metagenome. Its description in RNAcentral is "tRNA-Pyl". It matches the Rfam family "tRNA". From Rfam's summary of the family: Transfer RNA (tRNA) molecules are approximately 80 nucleotides in length. Their secondary structure includes four short double-helical elements and three loops (D, anti-codon, and T loops). The record is from RNAcentral.
GCGUUUGUAGCUCAGUUGGUAGAGCGGGGAUCUCUAAAAUCCUAUGUCACGGGUUCGAGUCCCGUCUGACGCACCA